GAAUUACACUGACUUCUCACCAGAGACUAUGAAAAUCAGAAGAUCCUGGACUGAUGUCAUACAGACCCUAAGAGAACACAAAUGCCAGUCCAGGUUACUGUAUCCAGCAAAGCUCUCAAUUAGCAUAGAUGGAGAAACCAAGAUAUUCCGUGACAAAACCAAAUUUACACAAUAUCUUUCUACAAAUCCUGCCCUACAAAGGAUAAUAAAUGGUAAAGCCCAACACAAGGAGGCAAACUACACCCUAGAAAAAG
This 254-nucleotide long non-coding RNA is filed under the name Rattus norvegicus (Norway rat). Its description in RNAcentral is "long non-coding RNA NONRATT017844". The record is from RNAcentral. Lineage: Eukaryota; Metazoa; Chordata; Mammalia; Rodentia; Muridae.